RNAcentral lists this ribosomal RNA (253 nucleotides) under uncultured Lachnospiraceae bacterium. RNAcentral describes it as "partial 16S ribosomal RNA". It matches the Rfam family "Bacterial small subunit ribosomal RNA", at positions 524 to 776 of the family's 1533-position model. The record is from RNAcentral. Lineage: Bacteria; Bacillati; Bacillota; Clostridia; Lachnospirales; Lachnospiraceae.
UACGUAGGGGGCAAGCGUUAUCCGGAUUUACUGGGUGUAAAGGGAGCGUAGACGGUGAUGCAAGUCAGAAGUGAAAGCCCGGGGCUCAACUCCGGGACUGCUUUUGAAACUGUGUGACUGGAGUGCAGGAGAGGUAAGCGGAAUUCCUGGUGUAGCGGUGAAAUGCGUAGAUAUCAGGAGGAACACCGGUGGCGAAGGCGGCCACCUGGACGACAACUGACGCUGAGGUGCGAAAGCGUGGGGAGCAAACAGG